Molecule: small nuclear RNA, 190 nt
Organism: Suncus etruscus (white-toothed pygmy shrew)
Lineage: Eukaryota; Metazoa; Chordata; Mammalia; Eulipotyphla; Soricidae
Product: U2 spliceosomal RNA
Exons: 1
Source: RefSeq, a predicted model, not a curated record
AUUGCUUCUUAGCAUUUUGUCUAAGAUCAAGUAUAGUAUCUGUUCUUAUCAGUUUAAUAUAUGAUAUGUCCUCUACCUUAGGACAAUACAUAAAAUGGAUUUUUAGAGUAUGGAGUUGGAAUAGGAACUUGCUGCAUCCACUGGUGCAUCAACCUGGUAUUGCAGUACCUCCAGAAAUGAUGCACCCCUU